GUGGGUAUAGCUCAGUGGUAGAGUGUGUGCUUCACAUGCACAAGGUCCUGGGUUCAAUCCCCAGGACCUCCA
Molecule: transfer RNA, 72 nt
Filed under: Camelus bactrianus (Bactrian camel)
Lineage: Eukaryota; Metazoa; Chordata; Mammalia; Artiodactyla; Camelidae
Also listed under: 1 other name
Rfam family: tRNA
About the family: Transfer RNA (tRNA) molecules are approximately 80 nucleotides in length. Their secondary structure includes four short double-helical elements and three loops (D, anti-codon, and T loops). Further hydrogen bonds mediate the characteristic L-shaped molecular structure. tRNAs have two regions of fundamental functional importance: the anti-codon, which is responsible for specific mRNA codon recognition, and the 3' end, to which the tRNAs corresponding amino acid is attached (by aminoacyl-tRNA synthetases). tRNAs cope with the degeneracy of the genetic code in two manners: having more than one tRNA (with a specific anti-codon) for a particular amino acid; and 'wobble' base-pairing, i.e. permitting non-standard base-pairing at the 3rd anti-codon position.
Source: Rfam by way of RNAcentral